AACCUGCGCGGGGAGACCCCAAUGGAUUUCUAGUCCAUCGCCUUAAACUCUCGGCCACAACAACGGAUAAAAACUGGAUAAAUUGACUUUUGCCAAUAUCAGACACUGGCUAAGUGGCGUAUAUAAAGACUGCCAUGUGAAUAAUUCUGGAACACACAUAAUAAGGUAAGGGUGUGGUUUUUACUUGGUAAAUUACCGUUGGUGCUUUUUUCCCUUGUUGGACGGUAUAUUUGAUGGCUCCUCUUAUCAUGACAUUUCCCCACGACUUACCUGAAACACUUAUUAAAUUUGCGCAUAAUAUCUAAUGGAGAUGCUGGGGAUUGACCCCAGGGCCUCAUACAUGCUAAGCAUGCGCUCUACCACUGAGCUACAUCCCCUGCACAAAUUCCAAAAAUUACUUUGUUUUUGCGUAUAUAAAGGAAGAAGUGUGAGAAAAAAACAAUGAAUGGAGACGUUUCCAAGGGAAAACCUACUAUGACUGGCAAAAAGCUAACUUGGGAAGACUGAAUGCAUCACUUUAAAUAAAAAUCCUUGUGAAUUUGGAGCUUCAAAGUGGGACUGCACACGUUAAGGUAUGAAUAUGAAAAAAUGACUCUGCGGUGGGACCAGAAAGCUCUACAGUCAACUUCGUUGCUGGCAGGACUCGAACCUGCGCGGGGAGACCCCAAUGGAUUUCUAGUCCAUCGCCUUAACCUCUCGGCCACAACAACACAUAAAAACUAAAAAUAAAUUGAAUUUUGCUAAUAUCAGACACUGGCUAAGUGGCUUAUACAAAGACUGCCAUGUGAAUAAUUCUGGAAGUGGCGUAUAUAAAGACUGCCAUGUGAAUAAUUCUGGAACACACAUAAUAAGGUAAGGGUGUGGUUUUUACUUGGUAAAUUACCGUUGGUGCUUUUUUCCCUUGUUGGACGGUAUAUUUGAUGGCUCCUCUUAUCAUGACAUUUCCCCACGACUUACCUGAAAACCUUUUAAAUUUGCGCAUAAUAUCUAAUGGAGAUGCCGGGGAUUGAACCCAGGACCUCAUACAUGCAAAGCAUGCGCUCUACCACUGAGCUACAUCCCCUGCACAACUGCCAAAAAUUACUUUGUUUUCGCGUAUAUAAAGGAAGAAGUGUGAGAAAAAAACAAUGAAUGGAGACGUUUCCAAGGGAAAACCUACUAUGACUGGCAAAAAGCUAACUUGGGAAGACUG
This is a long non-coding RNA of Gasterosteus aculeatus aculeatus (three-spined stickleback), 1192 nucleotides long. The record is from Ensembl. NCBI's taxonomy places the organism in Eukaryota, Metazoa, Chordata, Actinopteri, Perciformes, Gasterosteidae.